GACCCCAACAUGAUUGUUAGAAUUAAAACACAACACAGAGACACUAAAGGAUUUGGUGAAGUGGAUGGGGCGGGCUACUUCUUUCUUAAUCAGAGGUUUUGAGUCUUGGGUAUGAAAAUUUUUUUUUAGCAGGAGCGCUACCUUUCGAAUGGAGCCCUACUCGGUGCGAAUCAGAAUAUAGUCGGGCUUCAAUACGGGUGGGAAACCAAAAAAAUAAAACAGAAAUAGUCAAAAAAAAAAAAAAAGGGUUUCUUUUCGGCUACUUUUCCUCUUGAGACUGAGGGUAUCAUUAACACAAUCUAAUAGAGAUCUGAAUUCUGGUCAUGUAUUUUUUUCUUUCUAUAAAGGGGUAUUAUCUUUUGGUUUCAGAUCUGACAGAUUAUAUUUAUAUAUAUAUACAGAAUCUUGUGAAAGUAAAGGCUCUCUCUUUUAAUGGUGGAAAGCAAUGGGGGAGGAACAGAGAGAUGACAGACUGACAGAAGAGAGUGAGCACACGCACACAAUUGUAUAGAGUGUAUACCUUUGUGUUUAUAUUAUUUGCGUGUGCUCACUUCUCUUUCUGUCACCUAUUUGUUUUCUUCCCUCUCUUGCCUUCCUUUGUUUUUUUUUAGCUCACAAUGGUUUUAGUUUUAUUUUGUUUCCCUUGUUUGAUUUCUUUUCAUUCUCUGAUCAUAUUGAUUUUUUCUUUUCCUUUUAUAGUUGAGUGAUUCAAAUUUACUAGUCUGAUUAAUUUAAAUUCAUGUAUGAAAAGUUUAGAUUUAUUUUCAGAGUUUGAACACGAAACCACGUAGAGAUUAUCAUACUCUGUGUAGAAAAAAUACAAGUAAGGGCAGCUCAAAGUACAAAGUAUCCGCAUAGGAUCAAAAAAAGAACCGUACUACUUGAUACAAGUAUCGAUAACUGAUUUUAGAGUUCGAAUCAGUAACUUAUAGAUCACGCUGAUACAGUUUGACCGUUGCUGAAAUGGCAGUGAACGCGUGUAUCUCUUUCUUGAAUUCCCUCUUCUUUUAUUCCACUCACCAUACAAAUAUGACAUUUACUCCAUACGCUUGACCUGUUUGUUGAUUUGACUCCGAUUGAAGGGAGCUCAACAACAGUAAAAUUCUUUCAUGAUUUGUAGAUUUCGAUUUCGAAUCAUAGUUUUUAUAUUAGGAUAGGUUAUGGAUUAUCGCUGCCCUUUUUUUUUUUACAUAUAUAUCAUCUUGUAUCUUUGCAAGUUCAUAUUUUUACAAGAUUUUAAAUGGGUUUUCAAAAAAUACAGUAGUAGAUCAGGAAAAAAAGAAGUACUAGUAGUUUUUCUGUUUGACGUUUUUGGGGAUCUUUUUUUUUUCUUUUUUUUUUUGUAAAAACCUAGAUACUGUAUUUUUUAGUGAUACCCCCAAUUAAAUAAUAUUAUUAGUUGUGACUUUUUAUGUACUUAUGUCUGAUGGAGAGGACGGACAUGGAUUUGGAAGGUAACCCUGUUACUGUUCUUAUUUAACCGAAAACUGCACUUAUUUUUUUUCUUCCAAAAAUAAAUAAAAUUGGUAAACAAGUAGAAUAGUACUUUUUCCCUCUUCUCUAGAACUGUCUAGUUUCUUCUUUCCUUUCUCUUCAUUUUCCCUUUUUUUUUUGGUAAUGGUAAUCUGCUUGUUUUAGUUGACUGUCUUUCUUUUGGAUAUUUAACCAUAAAAAAACAGUCUUUUUUCUGUAUAUUAACUCUGAUUGUUUUAAUUAAGUUGAUGAAUCUUGGAUCCCUUUGAACUAGGGAUUUGCUUAUUUUCGUGUGUCUACAGGUAAUAUUUUAUGUAGUUUUUUUGCAGAGGGAAAUGAAGAAAAUUACUAGUAAAGAGUAGAACUUCAAAUGCUUCUCAGCUAUGGAGCUAAAAAAAUUUCAUAUACAGGCUAUACGUUAUGUUGCUUCAGGACUGGAAACAACAAGAGAUGAUAUGAUCUUCAUUUGAUGGAAAAAUGUAGUGUUGUUUGGCGACCACAUGCAGAAAAUAACUCAGUACUUCCCUAGAUCUUGUCUAUUAAUUUCCCCCACCAAAUCCCCUCCUUAUCCUCCCCAAGGGAAAAAAAUUGGUAGUUGUAUACAAGGUUACUCAGUAGUUCAUUUAAAAAGCAAAAAAAAAGUAGUUGUAUACAAGGUUACCGAUUAUUUAGUUUCAAUAUGGUCUAAUGUCCAUCUACCCCAAUUUUCAUGUAUUGGCAAGAAGCGCUCAAGUUGAGGGUUGCAGUUCUGGCCGCCUUUGCUUCUAUACGAGAUUAGGUAAGUGAUCCCUGCCUUUUCUGUUACUUAUCCUUGUCCGACUGUUUGAUUCUCACCGUCUACCAAUUUUAAGGUUUUUGACGUCAUCUAAGCUUUUGUAGUUAGUAUGCUGCAACUACUUGUUGAUAGAUUUUAGAGGUUUGCAAUUUCAUAAAAUUCUCUCAGCAUGGGAAUUGGGAACCUAUUGAAAGACCUGCACACUUAUAUUGUCAUCGAUUACAUGCGUAUUACAGCCAAGUUAGUUUAGGCGUUGAAGUGAACAUGUUGAUAGGAGUAGAACUGCGAGAAUUAUAGCAACUAUCACUUGAGAGAACAAAUCUAUAAAGUAAUAGACGUUUGUAGCUGCUCUUACGGUAAUUGUUGGUGGUUUUCACCUGAAGUUGAGUAUUCGGAGUGAUAUAGAGAGGGAAAAUACUGUGUAAUAUGAACUAAUAGCUACCUACCAGAACCACUAAAUGUUACUUGUCUGCUCAGUUUUGGUUGUAGUAAUCUCAUUUUCCUUCUUUUGAAAAGCUUUAUGAUAAAGUUUUGUUCUUUACUUGCAUACUACGAAUAUCAUACAUUUGUAAUUGAGCUAUUGUUACAGUUGACAUAUUUGUAACCGUCUAUUUCUUGCCACGGUGAAUUUUAUGGUGAUUGCUGUUCUUGUCUAUGUUUUGUCACUGAAGCUUCCGAUGAUGCCUUGUUCUGAUUGAAGUGUAAAUAAACGUUGUGCCCUUACCAGGAGAGACCUUAUCCCAUUGGUCGGGUGCGAAUAGAAGCAGCCCUAAGCAGAAACCUUGUACCCCAUGUUUGAUCCUAAAGAAACAUGUUGUCAAGUUUUUCAAAUGCAGAGGACUGUUGUAGGCCAACUUUCACCUCUUCUUCAAUAGGUGUGCAUAGUACCUUGUCAUAUAAAUUCAUAUGAGAAAAUUGCAUUGAGAGAAAUCAAUAAAGAAAAGGAAAACGGGUCAACCGCAUCAACAUGUGAUUUUGAGAGAUUGUCCUCGGGCUAAGUAGUAUCCACAUGAGUUUGUUUGGAGGUGUUUACACGUCUGUGGUCCUCUUUUAUAUUCUCUUGAGAGUUCGAAUUGCUCCAUCUAUUUCUUA
Nicotiana tabacum (common tobacco) is the source of this 3340-nucleotide long non-coding RNA. RefSeq lists it as uncharacterized. Lineage: Eukaryota; Viridiplantae; Streptophyta; Magnoliopsida; Solanales; Solanaceae. The record is from RefSeq and is a predicted model, not a curated record.